Molecule: long non-coding RNA, 246 nt
Filed under: Elaeis guineensis (African oil palm)
Lineage: Eukaryota; Viridiplantae; Streptophyta; Magnoliopsida; Arecales; Arecaceae
Description: long non-coding RNA (EGUI_LNC043497)
Source: RNAcentral
UCAGAUUUUUUUUCACAGUGAAAAAUCAGAUUUUUCUUCAUGUGCUAUGCCCUCUUUUCUCUCCUUUUAAAUUGGCAUCCAAGAUGAGAUUAGGUCAAACCUAAUUAGAUAAGGACUUGAAUUUGAAUGAGAAUUCAUCCCUAUCCAAAAGGGGAGAAAAGAGGGCAUGGAGAAGGCCUUGGGCACAGCUUUUCUUGUGCAAAAACAAUGGAGGGACGCAUGGAAUAAAGGGCAUCAUGGGGUGGC